GUGCCAGCAGCCGCGGUAAUACGUAGGUGGCAAGCGUUGUCCGGAUUUAUUGGGCGUAAAGGGAGCGCAGGCGGUGACUUAAGUCUGAUGUGAAAGCCCACGGCUCAACCGUGGAGGGUCAUUGGAAACUGCGUCACUUGACUGCAGAAGAGGAAAGUGGAAUCCCAUGUGUAGCGGUGAAAUGCCGUAGAUAUAUGGAGGAACACCAGUGGCGAAGGCGACUUUUUGGUCUGUAACUGACGCUGAGGCUCGAAAGCGUGGGGAGCGAACAGGAUUAGAUACCCUGGUAGUCC
RNAcentral lists this ribosomal RNA (293 nucleotides) under uncultured microorganism. RNAcentral describes it as "partial 16S ribosomal RNA". It matches the Rfam family "Bacterial small subunit ribosomal RNA", at positions 505 to 796 of the family's 1533-position model. The record is from RNAcentral.